RNAcentral lists this ribosomal RNA (240 nucleotides) under uncultured bacterium. RNAcentral describes it as "partial 16S ribosomal RNA". It matches the Rfam family "Bacterial small subunit ribosomal RNA", at positions 524 to 767 of the family's 1533-position model. The record is from RNAcentral.
UACAGAGGGUGCAAGCGUUAAUCGGAAUUACUGGGCGUAAAGCGCGCGUAGGCGGUUUGGUAAGUGUGAUGUGAAAUCCCCGGGCUCAACCUGGGAACUGCAUCACAUACUGCCAAGCUAGAGUACGGUAGAGGGGGUAGAUUCCACGUGUAGCGGUGAAUGCGUAGAGAUGUGGAGGAAUACCAGUGGCGAGGGCGGCCCCUGGAUCGAUACUGACGCUGAGGUGCGAAAGCGUGGGGA